UGGGGAAUAUUGGGCAAUGGGCGCAAGCCUGACCCAGCCACGCCGCGUGAGUGAUGAAGGCCUUCGGGUCGUAAAGCUCUGUGGGGAGAGACGAAAGCCCCUUGGCUAAUAUCCAAGGGUUUGACUGUAUCUCCUUAGCAAGCACCGGCUAACCACGUGCCAGCAGCCGCGGUAAUACGUGGGGUGCAAACGUUGCUCGGAAUCAUUGGGCGUAAAGCGCGCGUAGGCGGCCCAGCAAGUUGGAUGUGAAAGCCCUCGGCUUAACCGAGGAAGUGCAUUCAAAACUACUGGGCUUGAGUACAAAAGAGGAUCGCGGAAUUCCCGGUGUAGAGGUGAAAUUCGUAGAUAUCGGGAGGAACACCAGCGGCGAAGGCGGCGAUCUGGGUUGAUACUGACGCUGAGGUGCGAAAGCGUGGGGAGCAAACAG
RNAcentral lists this ribosomal RNA (427 nucleotides) under uncultured bacterium. RNAcentral's name for it is "bacterial SSU rRNA". It matches the Rfam family "Bacterial small subunit ribosomal RNA", at positions 355 to 775 of the family's 1533-position model. The record is from RNAcentral.